AAGAUGCCGUACUGUUCCCGCGAUUGUCAGGAGAGAGACUGGAAGAAGGGACACAAGAGUCUGUGUCUCGAUGUAAGUGAGAUGAAAAAAUGUUC
This is a long non-coding RNA of Haliotis rubra (blacklip abalone), 95 nucleotides long. RefSeq lists it as uncharacterized. The transcript has 3 exons. The record is from RefSeq and is a predicted model, not a curated record. Lineage: Eukaryota; Metazoa; Mollusca; Gastropoda; Lepetellida; Haliotidae.